Molecule: small nucleolar RNA, 48 nt
Filed under: Mus musculus (house mouse)
Lineage: Eukaryota; Metazoa; Chordata; Mammalia; Rodentia; Muridae
Also listed under: 1 other name
Description: Small nucleolar RNA SNORA17
Rfam family: Small nucleolar RNA SNORA17
About the family: snoRNA ACA 17 belongs to the H/ACA family of snoRNAs and is predicted to guide pseudouridylation of the 28S rRNA at positions U4659 and U4598. It shares the same host gene together with ACA43.
Source: Rfam by way of RNAcentral
UGUGUCUAUGUGCAGUGUUCUGACCUAUGAACAUCUGAAUAAUUAGUA